This is a long non-coding RNA of Prosopis cineraria, 1923 nucleotides long. RefSeq lists it as uncharacterized. The transcript is spliced from 2 exons. Lineage: Eukaryota; Viridiplantae; Streptophyta; Magnoliopsida; Fabales; Fabaceae. The record is from RefSeq and is a predicted model, not a curated record.
ACGAGUGAUGACCCUCAUCUCAUCUGCCCUGAACGUAGUGCUUCGUGCUCUCCCACACGGCGCCUCCGGGCUCUCCAACAGUCACCGCUCUUCGGUGCUCCACCAUCUCUCCCCGACAGUCAUCGCUCCUCCGCCGUCUAUCACUCAACCAUAACCCAGUGAGGAAUAUAUGACUUUUUAACGUCAACUAGAGGUUUAGGCUUUUGCCUAAUGGGUAUGAAUACCUCAGGUGAACUGUGAGUAAUACAACUUGAUCAAAGAAGGGUACUGGUGAGGUUCGUUUUUAGUUUGUUUUCACCUGUAAAGUAUUACGGUUUAGAUUAAAGAAACUUGGAUUUCUUGUUUGAGGAAAAUGAGAGGUAGAUGAGAUUGGUCAGAUUAUACAGCUAUUAGAAAGGCCACCUUUUUCUGUUGAUGCAUGUAGACUUGCGCUGGAUCUGGAUGUGCAUGUGAUGACCUCUUACUGCUGUGAAAUCUAUACCUAUUGUGUAUUCCUUUUUUCGCAGCUUCUUUAUCAGUUAAAAUCACAUUAUAUAUUUUUCAUGUAUUCUAGUUUAGAUUGAAGAAAUUUGGGCUUAAAGAAAAAUGAAAAGUAGAUGUUGAUGAGAUUAGAUAGCUCAAGUACCUUUUUCAUGUAUUGUUUGCCUUGUUCCCUGGAAGUAUUGUUUGCCUUGUUUGCCUUGUUCCCUGGAAGUAUGUAGACAAACUCAGGCAAUGAGAUUCUUGUAUUGAGCUCGCUAUUUGCUUGAAGCAUAUCCAUGGUAAAGGAUAAUAUCCCUAUUGGGAUUUUACUUUUGGAUUUGGCUCAUUUUUACACAAUUUAUACACUGAAUAUCAGCUUCUCACCUAACCUCAGUUUUGACCUAAAAGUCAUUCUUUUGUAAUCUUUAUCCAAACAAAAUUAAAAGGUACUGAACCGACUUUUGGGAUCCAAACUGAAGUUUAGACCACUCAAAGUGAGGUUUGGGUUUAAACCAAACACACACUAACACCAAUGGUGAGAGAAAAUAAAGUUCGUGUCUUGAAAAAGUGUGCCUGAAGUUCACAUUUUUCACCCAAAAAAGAAGUGUGUAUGAACUAUUUCUGAAUCAAAACCGCUACACACCAAAGGACAUGACAAAAAUAUUAACAAAUUUAAGAAAACAACCCAACAAAGAACAAACAUUGUCAUAAUAAAGCCAGAGAGCUUCUCAACAUCAUACUAUCUUUAUGACACCAUGUUAUUGUUACGAAUGAACAUGCACUGUGUGGGUGAAAAAUAAAAAAUCAUAUCAGAGAAAUGGGUUAACAAUAAAUGACAGAAUUCAAAUUAAUUUGAAGUGUUGUUGCCCAGAAAAAAUUCAAGUGGGGAACGCUAGUCUUUGCUAAAUUUCAUUUAUAAUAUAAACAUCUCCUGCCAAAACUGAGAAACCGAGAAAGAAGAGAAAGAAGAAACAAGAAAACACAUGGAGAAAGAAGAUAAAGCACAUGGACUGAGCAAUAAUGUUUCAUACCGAAACUGAGAAAGCAAAGGGAAGUUUUCAUACCCUUGCCGCAAUGUUUGAUUGUGCAGUGCAGCUGCCGUCAUGCUCAGUCACUCCAACGCUGUUGUCUAUACCGCGUCUCUGCUGCCGUCUUUGCCGUGUCGCUGCUGCCGUGCUGCCCUGCGUAAUGGGUUGCUCUGCAUCGACCAGUGUUUGAGGGAGAGAGUCUCGAGUGAUUUGAUCAUAAUAGGGUUUGCUUUUGAUUUUGAGGAGGGGCAAUGUUGUCAAUAAAAUUUAUAACUUGGGGUAUUGUUGCUUGAAAUUGUUGGUUUCAGAGAACUUAUCUCAGAUCCUUGGGUAUACCCAAGGAACCCAAUUCCAUCAAAUUUGAUGGAAGUGAGUUCCAAGUGAGAGUGAGAUCUGUCAUACCAAACAGCCCAAUUUUUAAAUUCCACUUCCA